RNAcentral lists this transfer-messenger RNA (354 nucleotides) under Deltaproteobacteria bacterium RIFOXYD2_FULL_66_9. It matches the Rfam family "transfer-messenger RNA". Rfam says of the family: Bacterial tmRNA, also known as 10Sa RNA or SsrA, is named for its dual tRNA and mRNA-like properties. Its role is to liberate the mRNA from a stalled ribosome. To accomplish this part of the tmRNA is used as a reading frame that ends in a translation stop signal. Lineage: Bacteria; Deltaproteobacteria. The record is from RNAcentral.
GGGGGCGAAACGGUUUCGACGGGGAUGUCGAUGCUCGUGGGUUGCGUGCCGAGGCCCUGCACCUCGUAAAAAGCGGGAAACCAAUAGUCGCCAACGACUAUCCGUUAGCUCAGGCGGCUUAAGCCGCCUGCCUCCGACCGUCGAAUGCCCGUAUAGGCGCGAAGGAGGUCACUCUCACGGGAUAGCCUGAAGCCUCCUCCCGGGGGGCCGAAGGCGAGCCUUCUCCCGGGAUGGUCCGAAGGGAACCCUGCCGGCCGGGGUCCCCGGGGACGAGACCCAAACGACCGGAAACGCACGUAGUGGCCCUGAGUAAAGAAUCUUCGGACGGGGGUUCGACUCCCCCCGCCUCCACCA